UAUAAUAAAAACAAUCUAAACUCAAUUCAUAUACAUCACUUAAUUAUUAAAACAUGUCGGUAGAUACCUACUGCAUAUACAGAUACCUACUGCUGACAAAAACAUGUUUUCUAAUCUGCACUAAUACAUGGUAAAAGAAAUAACCAACCUUGAAAAGCAAAUGACGAGAGAAAGUAAAGACGAGUGAAGGGGAGAAAGCGAUGGACAAGAGAAAGCGAAGCUGCCAAAAAACAUUCAUAUAUCACUACUGCAUACAAUUUUUAGAACAAAUAAAAUAAUAAAAAAAAAACUCAAAUCAAAAUCAUACAUUUUUGAGCUGAUGUUUAAACGAUACUGGUCUGCAAAAGAUACUGGUCUGCAAAAGAAAAAUCCGUGCGACAAAAACACACAUAAACAUUCAUCAGAUAUUAUCAACAUAGAAUCUAGACAUUACAUACAAAUAUAGACAAACAAAAGAAUUUUUAGAAAGGUGCAAAAAUGUAGGAGGAUAUACCAGUAAGAAUCAUGAACAAUGUGAUACAGUAUAGGAACAACUACUACCAUGUUGCUACCAAACACUAUGUGCAAAUAUAACAAGAAAAAAAUCUGAGUACAAUUUAAACUUGCUCGGUUAUUCCAUUCUUUGCUGAAUAAGAAAUUAAGCAGGUAGAGAUAUACAUACAGUAACACUAUUAUAUUGGUCAUUGGUGUACGUAAGUGUAGUUGUAUCAAAAUCAAACCAUCAUUCUAGUAUAUAUUAUAGUAGCAGUAGCAGUAGCAGUAGUGGAUUAAAAUAUCUGACGAUUUAUCUAUCUAUCGCAGUACACGGGACAUUUCUGGGCAGUAAUGAACAUUUGUAUUACAUAUGAUGAAAAAAGAUGUUCUCUUGGAUUUUUAUAGUCUCCCUCAUUUGUGCUAAUGAGUCUGGCUGAUUUGUCUGUCAAUCAAUUCACACUGUAAUUUUUUUUCAGUACGUGCUCCUAAAGGUAAGUUGUUUUUUCGCACUUUUGAAUCACAUGUUGAUGUUCUUGUGGAGAGCAACAAUGCACCAAGCUGUCAGUGGUCUAGUAACUGUGCUCGUAAAUUAUUUAAAAGAUUUGUAUAGCCUUCCAAGGUGCUUUUUGCUACCAAUUUAGCUACACACCCCCUCAUUGCCAAUUCCUUUUUCAGUAUAAUUUCAAAUUUAACAUACACCAAUACAUAUAGCUGGAUUGCUACUGUUGAUGAUAAAUUUAGUAGCAAGACCAUCAAUAAUUCUAGUACUUAUUACUAACUACCUUUCACACCAAAACCUAGUUAUCUGCCUAAUCUGAUAAUUUAGGAACUUUAGUUGCAUUACCUCUCAUCAUCUGCAGAAUCCAAAUACAGUAAAUGUUAGGGUCCUGAUCCUGCAAAAAAAUGAAUGAAAUUUCUAAGUUAACAUCAUCAGAACAAAGAGCAUGUCUUGUAAAAGUGUUUAACCUGCCUUAUUGAAAGUAAUUCAAUCACUUCAAUUAUUGCAAAGACGCAAGCAAAUAUCUACCUGACUAACAUUAAUAUAUGUAUAUAUACUCUCAAGAGUCGAGAGUCAAGACUACUACUACAAUGCACACUACACAUUAACACACUCAAUGAUUCAACAACCAAUUACUCUUCCCUCCAACCAGUCAGUUCUAGAUUUCUAGCUCCCAUGUAUGUCAGUUUCUCCCUCAACAUCCCCGCUAUCCAGUAAAAAAUAAUAUGAUGAAUGAGCACAAUAAGACAGCACAACUACAUCAAAAAGAGCACGUGAAAACCACCAAUAUGAUAAACAGGAAAGACAACUUCCACAAUUUGGCCUAAUUUGAGUGUACUUAAGCACAUCAACGUUCAUAGCACUGUGGAAGAUGAUCACAACCAUUAAAAUAAUCUUCUGUUUAAAAUUCAAGGAUGGUUUCAAAUAAGACCAACCACAACUAAUCAAUGUCAGCAAGAUAGCAAAAGGAACUUCACUAAACAAAACUCCCCCGUAAGCUAAAGUGGUAACGAAAAAGCCUUGUGAGUAGCCAAAGUGUUUGAUGAAAAUAUUCCGAACUAGCCCAGUUAAAUGACUCAACACUUUGAUGAUCAAAACUACAAGUAUAGCAAUGUGAAUGCGCAAAAGUUGAUUCCCUUUCAGUUUGAUAUAAUAAACAUGAAUAUUCCAAAGCGAAAAGAAAAUCAAACACAUAUAAAUCAUUAAACACAAAGUGAAUCCUAGGAAGUAAAACCUUGGUCCCGGAUAAAUAAUUCCUCUUAUCAAAUUCAAGAUCAUACAUAGAGCUUUUUACAACCAUGGAAAACCGAAACUCCUUGUUAGAAAGAUAAUUAAUGAAAUAAAGACUGUAGAGUUCUUGUUGUUGUUUUUCUUCUUUAUCUUCAUUGGAGAAAACGAAAUCAAAGUUUUUGGUACCAUUGAUGAGUUUAUGAAAAGAGAAACCUGCUAUAGACUUUUCAAUAAUACUAUAAUCAUCAUAUCUAGUAAAGAGAAAGAAACCAACUGUAGAGAAAUUCAAGUUGAGAUUUGAAUUGGAAAGAUAGAUAUCAGAAACAUUAAUUUCUAUACGACCUCAUUUUCCUCCAUUAGUGAAUUGAAAAGAAUCAAUGAAUAAUAUACUUUAAACAGAAACAUUAUUGUUAAAUAUACUUUAAACAGAUAUCAAUUGAAAAGAAUCAAUGAAUAAUAGAUAUCAGAAACAUUAUUGUUAAAUAUAUUUGAAUUCAUAUCAUAUACACGAAUCUCUGCAAAUGUAAACGUGAAUUGCAUGCAAUUGGAGUGAUUUUAAACAGAAUCUAGGGUUAGGGUUAUAGUCGAUAAUGAUAUAUCAGAAAACCCCAAUCUAGGGUUAGGUUUUUCGAAAAAAAAUUCAAAAUUUUCGAUUCAAACAACAAGUAGAAAACAACAAGUAAAGAAAGAACAACAACAACAACCAAAUCAAACAAAGAAGAGAAGAAGAAGAUGAAGAAGAAGAAGAAGAAGAAGAAGAAGAAGAAAUCUGUUUGAAAAAUACUAACCUCAAAACUUCGAAAAAGUAUAAAGAAGAAGAAGAAGAUGAAUAAUAUGAAGAAGAUAAACAAGAAGAAGGAGAAAUAUACCUGUUUUAGGGUUCGAAAUCGGUGUCGCCAGGUUAAUCGCCUCUACUGCGCCGCCAUCACCUGUUCUAGGGUUUUUUCUUGUUUAAGCUUGGUUGUUUUUGGCAAAGAUGUAAUAUAUACUUGGCAAAUUGUAGAGGGUUAAGUGGCAAAGCAAAUUUUGCCUGGGGGGUACCCAAGCAAA
RNAcentral lists this long non-coding RNA (3253 nucleotides) under Aquilegia coerulea. Its description in RNAcentral is "long non-coding RNA (ACOE_LNC000170)". The record is from RNAcentral. Lineage: Eukaryota; Viridiplantae; Streptophyta; Magnoliopsida; Ranunculales; Ranunculaceae.